GAAAUGCGAUAAGUAGUGUGAAUUGCAGAAUUUAGCGAAUCAUCGAAUCUUUGAACGCACAUUGCGCCCCUUGGUAUUCCAUGGGGCAUGCCUGUUCGAGCGUCAUUUCAACCCUCAAGCACUGCUUGGUGUUGGGCGUUUGUCCCGCCUACGCGCGUGGACUCGCCUCAAAGUCAUUGGCAGCUGUUCCCCUUAGGCUCGUAAGCGCAGCACAGUCGGCGCCCGGAGCUCUGGUGGGAUGGCGUCCAGCAAGCUAUAUUUUCAGGCUUGACCUCGGAUCAGGUAGGGAUACCCGCUGAACUUAAGC
This 307-nucleotide unclassified non-coding RNA is filed under the name plant metagenome. RNAcentral describes it as "partial contains 5.8S ribosomal RNA, internal transcribed spacer 2, and large subunit ribosomal RNA". The stretch from base 1 to 105 matches the Rfam family "5.8S ribosomal RNA", at positions 50 to 154 of the family's 154-position model. The record is from RNAcentral.